Molecule: unclassified non-coding RNA, 2657 nt
Filed under: Hevea brasiliensis (rubber tree)
Lineage: Eukaryota; Viridiplantae; Streptophyta; Magnoliopsida; Malpighiales; Euphorbiaceae
Source: RNAcentral
UUUUUUUCCUCUUCCUUUCUUUUACUCUUUUUUCAUAUCAACUACAGAUUAGUAUAAUCCCAAACUCAGCGAGUCAACCAAAGCAAAUCCGUUCUCUAUAUAAGAGCUACAAAGCAAUGCUACUUUUCGCCAAGAUUGUUCUUCCAUAUAUCCAUACUUGUAGGAAAACCUAGCUAAGACCUAACUUCCUAUUCCUGUCUUUGCUUCGUAGAUAGAAAGCAUCGCUAUUAACUUAUCGACUUGGCUGGUCAAAGAUGGAGCCACAAAAAAGAGUAGAAACAAUAGAAGUUGAUGAAGAAAAAUGGGUUUAUGAUUCUUCUGUGGAUCAUAAAGGAAGGGUUCCUCUGCGAGCUUACACUGGUGUUUGGAAAGCUUCGCUGUUUAUCAUAGCAAUUGAAUUCAGUGAAAGGUUGAGUUACUAUGGAAUAGCAAGCAGCUUAAUCAUUUACCUGACAACAGUGAUUCAUCAAGACCUCAAGACUGCUGCUAAGAACGUAAACUUUUGGUCUGGAGUGACUACUUUGACGCCUCUAUUUGGAGGAUUUGUUGCUGAUGCUUACUUGAGCCGAUUCUCCAUGGUUUUAGUUUCAUCUAUCAUCUAUAUUCUGGUCACCAUCUCAUCUUAUUUCCAUUUCCUUUUGUGAACUUUAAUCAUAUAAUUGUCUCAUGCAUGAUGAGUAUAUUUUUCUUAUAAUUGACCUCAAAAUUCAAAAAAUUUAAUAUGACAUUGUGUCUCCAUUAAAAUUUUUUAUGUGUUAAAGAAAACACUGGAUAUCAAUAUAUAUAAUUGGUAAAAACAUUAGCAAUAUAUAGAAUAGAAGUGGCUACGGUCCGUUUUAGAAUUGAAAUUAAGUCAAUUCAAUUUGAAAUAGAAAUUGAUUAAAUUUGAAUUAAUUGAAAUUGAAUAUAAAUCAGACCAGAAUCAAUUAAUCCAAUUUCAGUCAGUUAGAUUAGCUAUUAAUUAUUUCUAUAAAAAAUUUAACUAUGAUUUUUGGUUUUCCUGUUUUGUUGAUGUGGACGCACAGGGUUUGAUUCUUUUAACACUGUCCCAGUUUCUUCCAAGUUUAAAGGCUUGCGAAGAAGCUAUGUGCCACGAGUCCAGGAAGGUUCAUGAAACGGUUUUCUUCCUUGCCAUGUAUUUAAUCUCCCUAGGAACUGGAGGGCAUAGGCCUUCCUUGGAGAGCUUUGGAGCUGAUCAAUUCGACGAUGAUCACUGUGAAGAAAGAAAGAAAAAGAUGUCAUAUUUCAACUGGUGGAAUUUUGGCCUUUGUUCUGGACUCCUCCUUGGUGUAACUCUGAUUGUUUACGCUCAAGACCAUGUGAGCUGGGGUGUUGCAGAUAUUAUUCUGACAAUAGUUAUGGCUCUAUCACUAGUUAUACUCAUUAUUGGAAGGCCAUUUUACCGAUAUCGGGCACCAUCAGGCAGCCCCUUAACGCCAAUGUUGCAGGUUCUUGUAGCUGCUACAAGAAAAAGAAAUCUGCCACAUCCUUCAAAUCCUGCUGAAUUAUAUCAAGUCUCCAACAUGGACCAUGGGAGGCUUCUCUGCCAUACCAAGAAGCUCAAGUAAUCAAGAGAAAGAAGUCUUUGUUCCUAUUCAAAUUUCAUGCAUGAUUUAAUCAGCUGUAUCUGAUAUUAUCCAUUUUUUGGAUUAUCAGUUAAUUAGAAACCCCAUUAAAUUGCAGGUUUCUUGACAAAGCUUCUAUUCUGGAAGGCACAGAAAAUUCUGCUGAGAAGCAAAGUCCUUGGAGACUUGCAACCGUGACAAAGGUUGAGGAAAUGAAGCUUAUUCUCAAUAUGAUCCCAAUAUGGCUAGCUACCUUACCGUUUGGAAUUUCGGUAGCACAAGCCUCCACAUUCUUUAUCAAGCAAUGCACCACUAUGAACCGAAAGAUUGCUAAUGGAUUCUUGAUCCCACCAGCCUCCAUUUAUGCUAUUGCAGCCAUUGGAAUGAUAUUCUCUGUGACCAUUUAUGAGAAGGUCCUAGUACCAAUACUAAGAAGGAUGACAGGAAACGAGAGAGGCAUCAAAAUUCUUCAAAGAAUAGGCAUUGGAAUGCUGUUCUCAAUUUUGGCAAUGAUAAUUUCAGCCUUGGUGGAGAGAAAGAGGCUAAGUGUUGUGGAGAAAGAUCCAGUGAAGGGUUCACUUUCAAUGACUGUGUUUUGGUUGGCUCCACAAUUUCUGAUCAUAGGCAUAGGAGAUGGAUUUACACUAGUGGGGUUGCAGGAGUACUUCUAUGACCAAGUUCCUGAUUCAAUGAGGAGCUUAGGUAUUGCCUUCUACCUUAGUGUGAUUGGAGCUGCAAACUUCAUUAGUAGUCUGCUGAUAACAAUUGUGGAUCAUGUUACAGAGAAAUAUGGGAAGAGUUGGUUUGGGAAGGAUCUAAACAGUAGUCGUUUAGACAAUUUUUACUUGCUAUUAGCAGGUAUUACUGCAGCAAAUAUGGUAACCUAUGUGUUGUUGGCCAGGCGAUAUUCUUACAAAAAUGUGAAUAGGAGUGUGGCUGUGGCUGUGGCAGAUUGCUCGGUUGAUGAUUGGGCAAACUCAGUGGCUUGAAAUGCAAAUUUCCCCAGUCUGGCGUAUAAAUAACAUAUCAUAUAAUAUUAGUGUAUGUUGUGUUUACUUUUGGAAAUUUAAGCCUGCGUAUGUUUCAAUAAAU